This is a long non-coding RNA of Camponotus floridanus (Florida carpenter ant), 952 nucleotides long. RefSeq lists it as uncharacterized. The record is from RefSeq and is a predicted model, not a curated record. NCBI's taxonomy places the organism in Eukaryota, Metazoa, Arthropoda, Insecta, Hymenoptera, Formicidae. The transcript is spliced from 3 exons.
AUUCAUAACGUGAGACUCGAGUGAGCAACACACAUUUUUCUAAACGUGAUCGCGACGAAUAGAAAAUGUUAUAAACGCGAUUAUUCUCUACAAUUAUUAUAAUUAAUGAUUAAUGAAUCAGUGUCGGGAGUGUUGAUAUCGCGCUUUAACAAAAAACGAAGGCCAAAUAUAACUGUCACCUUGUUGUCAUUUGCGCGGCGACACUCGAGCGAGACAGCAGACAUUCCGUCGUAUUAUCUCUACUAAAACGAGACGUUAAAUAUAACGUUAUAAAUGCGAUAAUAUUCAUAUACAUUACUGUAGCACCGAAUGACAUCGUGUGAAACUAACCGCGCUGACAGUAGAGUGUGAAGUUGACCGGAUUUUCAUAUCGAACGUUGCGCCGUCAUGUGUCGUGUACAAAGUACUACGCGAUCAUUUAUAUUUUAUUGAUUAAUGCGCGCGUGAUCGUAAUUAAUCGUGUUUUUACGAGUGAGUGAGAAUGGAAAAACAACAAAGUAUAAAGGAGGAGACUCGAGGAGGCAUCGGGCAACAGCGGAACAAUCGUAACAAGGUAGAACGUGUAUCCCGAUGUUACACAGCGCACGUCAGCAAGAUCUGACUUAACCAGUGUGGCACGGCCUCGAGAACUCGAUUCCGUAAGAAAAGGAUGGUGGACACACUCUCCGCGAUCCCGUUUUGAGAAUACGUGUGUGUGCGCACGGAUAUAACAUCCGACAAUAUAAUAAAUGAUUUCCCAUAGCCAAGAAUCAUUUUUGGUUACAAAUAGCAUGUGCAUCCAAUAAUACGGUUAUUUGAGUUUUCAUAUGUUGCGAUGCAUAAAAAUGCGCAAUAGUAUAUUGUCGUAUACAAUGGAUACGAUAAUUUAGAGAGAAUCAAGUACGAAAUUACAUUCGUGCUCGGAGUAAGUGAAUAAUACAUUUUUGGACCGUCGUCCAAAUCCCAGUUAUUU